CGUAAACAGAGGGAAGCGAAACCGCGAGGUAGAGCAAAUCCCCAAAAACGGUCUCAGUUCGGAUUGCAGGCUGCAACUCGCCUGUAUGAAGUCGGAAUCGCUAGUAAUCGCGGAUCAGCAUGCCGCGGUGAAUACGUUCCCGGGCCUUGUACACACCGCCGUCACACCAUGAGAGUCGGGAACACCCGAAGUCCGUAGCCUAACCGCAAGGAGGGCGCGGCCGAAGGUGGGUUCGAUAAUUGGGGUGAAGUCGUAACAAGGUAUC
Molecule: ribosomal RNA, 265 nt
Filed under: uncultured bacterium
Lineage: Bacteria
Description: partial 16S ribosomal RNA
Rfam family: Bacterial small subunit ribosomal RNA
Source: RNAcentral